RNAcentral lists this long non-coding RNA (1467 nucleotides) under Marmota monax (woodchuck). Lineage: Eukaryota; Metazoa; Chordata; Mammalia; Rodentia; Sciuridae. The record is from RNAcentral.
AGGAAUCUCAUCUCAUUUGAAGCCUCUUUUAAUUAAUAGAUUGUGCUUUUAACAGACAGGGAAAGAAAGACAUACAGAACUGGAGUUCUUUUAAAAUUUUCUAUGUUAACUACUUUAAUUCCCUGGAGUCAAUGAGUAGCACUAAUUAAAUUUAUGGAACUUACUCAGGGGAUCUGCAUAGCCAAGAGAUCAUCCAGAGGUGCCAAUGGCUAGGUCAGCAUAUUAGAGGGAGAAGGUGCCUGAGCUAUCCAGUCCAACCCCAUUAUUUUGUAGGUGAUAGGAUUGUGACUCAGAAGGAAAGGGCUUGCCUAAGACUCACAGCUCAUUUUUUGGCAAAACCAGGACUUAACUCCAGAUUUUUUGUUUAUUUGUUUUAUUUUGUGUGGCUUAAUCUUUGGGUUCAAAGCAACAAAAAUCUCACCAAACUACCUUAACCAAAAAGGGGAAUUUAUUGAGACCAUGUAAGAAUUGUUCUAGGUCUUAGAUUACUAGGCAGUAUGAGGGAAUGCAACCCAGACUAGUGAGUUAAGACUGUUAUAUUGCUUCUCUGGCUUUCAAAAAGGUCACCAGUUGUCAGCAUGUGUGUUACAUUUGUUUCUCAGAUGUAUACAGCUUGGCCAGCAGUGUGAAGUGUGUAACUAUCCAAAGGUCUGUAAAGGCACUGAUUGCUGAGUCGACCCCAUAAUUUCUAUCUCUUGGGGUAGAUCUUGAAGAGUUGCAUUUCUAACAAGUUCCUGUAUGAGGCUGGCAGAACAGUUUGAGAACCUCUAGCUCAAAGAAUUCUGAAUUUGAUUUUCUUUAGACAAAGCAUGCCUCUUCAGUUCUUCUUACUCAAAUUGUUCUUCCUGACCUUUCAGAGUAUGGGAGCCCUGCCCAAGGCAUUAUUGCAUGUGAUUACUCUAUUUUUUUUUUUCCUGUAAACCAACUUCCUCUUCUCUACUCACACAAGGACCAUGAUGACUUCCAAGUCUUUCCUGGCUUUCCUAAAGGAAGUCAUUCCUUAUUCCCCAUUGCUUUAUAAGUCCAGAGCGCUCAGGUGGUUAGGGCAGGGCAGGGCCAUGAAACAUGGUUACAGACAUGCACUUCUUAGGAUGGAGGAGGAAAACAUAUCACAUGGUAUCUGUCAUGAUAUUUCUUGGAACACAGGUGUCCAACAAAAUGCCAAUGACUUAUGCAGUAGGUGAGUAUGUUUGGAAAACAAUGAGAUUAAACCAAUUUCAAUAGUAGUUUUGUUUGUAAUCUGUAAAUAUGCAUGUGACUGUCCAACAUGGUAAUCAAGAAUGCAACUUUUCCUACUUGUACAUAACAGAUCCUCUUCUAAGCAUAAGGCUUUGUUCUAGAACCUGGAAAAUACAAUAGCAACAGAGGAAAUACAUUUUGAAUUUUACAUUCCAGUGAGAGGAAGACAUGAAAUGCAAUACAAUGUAGUACAACAUGAUAUAUCACAAUACAACGUGAGACAUUGGA